RNAcentral lists this transfer RNA (88 nucleotides) under Bacillota bacterium. RNAcentral describes it as "tRNA-Ser". It matches the Rfam family "tRNA". From Rfam's summary of the family: Transfer RNA (tRNA) molecules are approximately 80 nucleotides in length. Their secondary structure includes four short double-helical elements and three loops (D, anti-codon, and T loops). RNAcentral also lists the same sequence under 1 other name. The record is from RNAcentral. Lineage: Bacteria; Bacillati; Bacillota.
GGAAAGGUGUCAGAGUGGUCGAAUGUGCCGGUCUCGAAAACCGGUGAGGUGAAAGCCUCCGCGGGUUCAAAUCCCGCCCUUUCCGCCA